UGGGGAAUAUUGCGCAAUGGGGGAAACCCUGACGCAGCUACGCCGCGUGCGGGAUGAAGGCCUUCGGGUUGUAAACCGCUUUUGAUUGGGAGCAAGCCUUUUGGGUGAGUGUACCUUUCGAAUAAGCGCCGGCUAACUACGUGCCAGCAGCCGCGGUAAUACGUAGGGCGCAAGCGUUAUCCGGAAUUAUUGGGCGUAAAGAGCUUGUAGGCGGUUCGUCGCGUCUGGUGUGAAAGCCCAUCGCUUAACGGUGGGUUUGCGCCGGGUACGGGCGGGCUAGAGUGCAGUGGGGGGGACUGGAAAUCCCGGUGUAACGGUGGAAUGUGUAGAUAUCGGGAAGAACACCAAUGGCGAAGGCAGGUCUCGGGGCUGUUACUGACGCUGAGAAGCGAAAGCGUGGGGAGCGAACAGG
RNAcentral lists this ribosomal RNA (412 nucleotides) under Verrucomicrobiota bacterium. RNAcentral's name for it is "Verrucomicrobia bacterium partial 16S ribosomal RNA". It matches the Rfam family "Bacterial small subunit ribosomal RNA", at positions 355 to 776 of the family's 1533-position model. Lineage: Bacteria; Pseudomonadati; Verrucomicrobiota. The record is from RNAcentral.